Molecule: ribosomal RNA, 255 nt
Filed under: uncultured bacterium
Lineage: Bacteria
Description: partial 16S ribosomal RNA
Rfam family: Bacterial small subunit ribosomal RNA
Source: RNAcentral
UACGUAGGGGGCCAGCGUUGCUCGGAAUUACUGGGCGUAAAGGGUUCGUAGGCGGUGCGGCAAGUUGGGAGUGAAAUCUCUGGGCUUAACUCAGGGGCUGCUUUCAAAACUGCCGCGCUCGAGUGCGAGAGAGGUCAGUGGAAUUGCAGGUGUAGCGGUGAAAUGACGUAGAUAUCUGGAGGAACACCGGUGGCGAAGGCGGCAUCCUGGACCGAUACUGACGCUGAGGAGCGAAAGCCAGGGGAGCAAAGCGGG